Molecule: ribosomal RNA, 1316 nt
Filed under: uncultured organism
Description: partial 16S ribosomal RNA
Rfam family: Bacterial small subunit ribosomal RNA
Source: RNAcentral
AGCGGCGGACGGGUUAGUAACGCGUGGGAACGUGCCCAAUGGUGCGGGAUAGCCUCUGGAAACGGGGAUUAAUACCGCAUGUACCCUAAGGGGGAAAGAUUUAUCGCCAUUGGAUCGGCCCGCGUUGGAUUAGGUAGUUGGUGGGGUAAUGGCCUACCAAGCCUACGAUCCAUAGCUGGUUUGAGAGGAUGAUCAGCAACACUGGGACUGAGACACGGCCCAGACUCCUACGGGAGGCAGCAGUGGGGGAUCAUAGACAAUGGGGGAAACCCUGAUCUUGCCAUGCCGCGUGAGCGAUGAAGGCCCUAGGGUUGUAAAGCUCUUUCGCCAGGGAAGAUAAUGACGGUACCUGGUAAAGAAACCCCGGCUAACUCCGUGCCAGCAGCCGCGGUAAUACGAGAGGCCCGAGCGUUAAUCGGAAUCACUGGGCUUAAAGCGUGCGCAGGCGGGUUUGUAAGCAUCUCGUGAAAUCCCUCGGCUCAACCGGGGAACUGCGGGGUGAACUGCAAGCCUUGAGGCAGGUAGGGGUCAUCGGAACGUUCGGUGGAGCGGUGAAAUGCAUAGAUAUCGAACGGAACGCCACAGGUGAAGACAGAUGACUGGGCCUGAUCUGACGCUCAUGCACGAAAGCGUGGGGAUCAAACAGGAUUAGAUACCCUGGUAGUCCACGCCGUAAACGAUGCGCACUGGGUCGGUGCAGUUUAGACGCUGUGCCGGCCGUAGAGAAAUUCUUAAGUGCGCCGCCUGGGGAGUACGGUCGCAAGGCUAAAACUCAAAGGAAUUGACGGGGGCUCACACAAGCGGUGGAGCAUGUUGCUUAAUUCGAAGCAACGCGAAGAACCUUACCUGGGCUUGACAUGCACGGAUUAGCUCUUGGAAACAUGAGUGACGCCCUCGGGUGGAACGUGCACAGGUGCUGCAUGGCUGUCGUCAGCUCGUGCUGUGAAGUGUCGGGUUAAGUCCCUUAACGAGCGCAACCCUUGUCGCUAGUUGCCAGCGCGUAAUGGCGGGGACUCUAGCGAGACUGCCGGUGUCAAACCGGAGGAAGGUGGGGAUGACGUCAAGUCCUCAUGGCCCUUACGCCCAGGGAUGCAAACGUGCUACAAUGGCAUGUACAAUGCGAAGCAAGACCGCGAGGUGGAGCAAAUCGCAAAAAGCAUGCCUCAGUUCGGAUUGCAGUCUGCAACUCGACUGCAUGAAGCUGGAAUCGCUAGUAAUCGGAGAUCAGAACGCUCCGGCGAAUACGUUCCUGAGCAUUGUACACACCGCCCGUCAAGUCAUGGAAGCUGGGAGUGCCCGAAGUCGCCUCAUCUCAG